UACCUCAUUUGAAAAGAGAGAUGUGACCUGU
This 31-nucleotide non-coding RNA is filed under the name Mus musculus (house mouse). Lineage: Eukaryota; Metazoa; Chordata; Mammalia; Rodentia; Muridae. The record is from RNAcentral.